GAAAGGGGAUGCGGUUAACAUUCCACAGGUAGGCGUUGCAGAGUGGCGACACUAGCAACUGCAAGACGGCGGGGACGUCCCGGGGAGAGUUCUCUUUUCUGCUUAACACCAUGACUGUCUGGAAGGCCUUUACGGCGAGAGAGACGCUAGUGGUGGAAGAGCAGCACACUCUUAGUGCUGUCCGGAGUGCUGUUCACGCCCCUUGAAAA
This 209-nucleotide ribosomal RNA is filed under the name Oxyrrhis marina. Its description in RNAcentral is "partial Eukaryotic large subunit ribosomal RNA". It matches the Rfam family "Eukaryotic large subunit ribosomal RNA", at positions 1596 to 1811 of the family's 3401-position model. Lineage: Eukaryota; Dinophyceae; Oxyrrhinales; Oxyrrhinaceae. The record is from RNAcentral.